GCUUCUCUCUGUCUUUCUGUCUCUGUCUUUCUGUCUCUCUGUCUUCCCAUCUCUGCACCAUUUCUCCUGGCUGUGGGUCAAAGUCAGGUAAAAGGAUUCCAAACCCCUUUUCAACCAGAAGCCUCUGUGUAAAAGUUCUCCAAGUCUUCCCUCCAGAUCUUUAGGUUUAUCAUUGACAUUCAAAUGGAGUACAGUGGGAGGUUUCAGUUGCUUCAGAGUUAUAGUGCCCUACUCAUGUUGAAGACCUGCCAAGGGGGAAAGAACCUGAGGUUUCUACAGAAUCCAGAUGACUUCCCUUCUGGGAGUCAAGACUAUUCACAAGAAAUAGAGAAAGAACAAUAUAAGAAAAUGUAUGAUCAAAUGCUCAUUUGUGUGAUAUGGACUCUAUCCAGUGAAAACUCCCGGAAGAAAGGGGCCGUUCUUUUUAAUUCCCUUCGGAUGAUAUCUAAUAGGAAA
Molecule: long non-coding RNA, 456 nt
Filed under: Monodelphis domestica (gray short-tailed opossum)
Lineage: Eukaryota; Metazoa; Chordata; Mammalia; Didelphimorphia; Didelphidae
Description: lncRNA (ENSMODG00000049876.1)
Source: RNAcentral